This 3334-nucleotide long non-coding RNA is filed under the name Olea europaea subsp. europaea. The record is from RNAcentral. Lineage: Eukaryota; Viridiplantae; Streptophyta; Magnoliopsida; Lamiales; Oleaceae.
AAUUUUUUUCCCCAAGAAGCUCCAAGCUGCUACCUGAGGAAAUUACAUGAUAUCAAGGCUUUAAACAUCACAGUUCAAAAAUCAGGGUUGAAGUUUCAUUAUUCAGAAAUCAGGUAUUGAUUUAAUAAUUUAAAUAUUAAAUAUUUCACUCAAAUUCAAUUUCAACCAUAAUUCAUUUCUCUCUCUACCAUCUAUAUUUUCUCCCUUCUCUCUACCACAAAACACCACUGUCGCCAUCGGCAGUGGUGAUUCACGAUGGUGGUGAAGCUCUAAAGCAACCUUACCGAUGACUAUUCUGUUUAUUUUCUCUCUAUGGUGUAAGGCAGAGAUAGCGUCGUGAUAAUAUGGUGUGGUGUGCUACGCGUUUGGCCUUCCUCUGCCAUCUUUUCCUUAAUCUUUCUCUCAUAGUCUCACUUUCUUUGCGUGUUUUUUGAGUAUGGAUUAAAGGGUUUUUGUCUCCAAGAUUUUCUCAAAACUGCUGAAACAAAAGGAAGGCAAAGAGGCACAAAUAUUGCUUGCGUGUACUUACUUUCAUUUUCCUGCAAAACCAAAGGUUCAAUUCUUGUUUCCGAAGCUACAUUUUAUACAAUUUACUAAUUAGCUUUGAUUUUGGGGAAGAGUAAGUCUGCAUUUGGCGCCAUAAGCUUGAAUUCAUUGUUUAGAAUCAGGAUUAUGAAAAUUUUAAAACAUUAAUUACCAAAACCCCAUUUGAUGCUGUCAAUAUGACAAAAGGAGAUUUUAAUUUUUUUUUUUUUCCCUUUUGAUAUAUGGGAUAUUGCUACUGGAUUAAGUUUUUAAAAAUGGAAGCAACAAUGUUAAUGUAUCUUCAGAGCUAGUUUUUCCUUUUCACCAUUGAAAAGGGCAGCAUCAAGUGGGGUAUAUUUAUAGUGAUACAGGUGGUAGGAAUGUGCCAUUGCUACCUAUUGCCUAGUACCUUCUAGUCUUCCUUUGUGGGGAAAGUAAUGUUGAUUUUUUGAUUUAGUACAUAGAAGUCAUUAGACAAUUUGUGUGGUGGUGUGGUGCAGUCGGUCAUUGUAUUUUGGUGAUCAUUUUUGUUGUUGUUGGCUAAGGACGAGGUGUAAUGGUGAUUGUGACCAACUAUUUGGUUGCUCUAUGACCAAGUAUUAGUAAUGAAAUGGGAUUGCGGGUGGAGUUUUUGGUGUGUGUGACCAAUGAUUUGGCCUGUGAUCUUUAAAAAAAUAAUCCGUGACUAAUAAAUGUGAAAAUAUGUGAUUCAUAGAUAAAUUGUGACCAAUAAUUUGAAUGAUCUGUGACCUCAAAAUAAUCUGUGAUCUACAAAAUUUUUGAUUUGAUACCACGAAAUAAUUCAUGACAAAUUAAUUUAAUGAUACGUGACCAGUAAAUAAAUCCAUGACAUAUAAUUAUGAAUUUGUAACCAUUAAUUGUAUAACUGUGACUUUAUUAUAUUUAUUUAAUAAAUAUUUUUAAUUGAUUAAAUAUAUACCUGAAUUUUGAAUUUUUAAAUUAUAUUUUUGAAUUGGUGAAAAUAAUAGGAUUAUGAAUUUUUUCCUAUUUUCUCCCCUCCAAUGCGUGUGGAAUAUAGCCAUAUAUAUUUUGGCGGCCCUAUUAUUUUUUUAUUCCAAUCCAAGGCCCAAUUGUGUGUGUUGUAUAGUUAUAAAAAUGGGAAAAAUUCAUAUAUGCCUCAGCACAGAAAACUAAUUCGCAAUUUACUAUGUGAUGGGAAUGUUUUUAAAAAAUAGUAAUUAUAAUAUUAAUUAUUUUUAAUUAUACUAACUUCCCAAAAUAUAACCCGAAAGCCAUGUUGUAACUAAUCCAAUUUGAAUUCAGCCAAAUUCACGUUCUGCAUUUAAUGACUUCCAAAAUCAAACAUGAAUUUUUGGCACAGAUUAUAUUUUGAAACAUCAUCUUCUACAAAUAUAGUUAAAGAUACAUUUUUGGAGAAGUGGUUGCUGGUUUUCGAUUUCUAUUUCGCACCAGAUAUGUUAAAUUGCUCUUUUGGGAUUUGAUUACAAUAUAGAAGAUGAUUUGCAAGAAAUAUAUGUGUACAACGUAUUUGGUAACGAAAUAGGAGAAUCCAUUUUUACAAAAUUAAUCUCCAUUUCUCUGUGUGUGUAUGAUCUCUUUUAUUUGAAUAUAUACAUAAUGAACUAUCUGAUUUUUGCGAAAUUGCACCAGAAAACACAAUGAAAUCAGGCAUGGAAUAAAAUUCUGCUGGAGAUCUAUGAAUGAUCAAUUCAGUGUCUUGGUGGGCGAUUUCGACGAGAGAAUCUGGACAGAUAAUUUUGAUUACAAUAGGAAAUAAGAUCUCGGUAGUUGAGUAGAACAUGUUUUGAUUACUGGAGAGAUAAUUUUGAUUACUGGCAGAGGCAGCAGUAGUUGAGUAGAACAUGUUUCAAAUGAUAAGAUCUCGGUCUCCCUGUUCGAGUUGAUGCUGAUGGUUUAGCAAAAUCUAAAUUCGCUGUUUCUGAUGAAUUUAUUAACCAAUGAUUUGUUUUACUGUAACUUCUUUUGAAAACAGAAAGGUUGAUUUAAAGGUAACUAAAGGGUCCGCCUCUUUAUCUUUUUCCAUUGAUCUAAUGCUGAAAUUAGUAGGAACAAAGGUGAUUUAGAUGGUUGGGAAAUAGGUUUGUUUACUAACUAUAAUUUGGUUCAUUGGAAUUAUGUGCUGUUAUUGUAACAUCAAAUUAGAUUAUUCAUUCACAGAUUUGAAACCAAUAAUUCAUUUUAUUUAAAAUUUUCAGUCCGUUUCCUAUAUGUUGAAAUUUGGCCAAUGCACAUGACUUCCAUAGUGUUUUAGAAUGAGGACAAUAAGUACCUUGAGAAUGCUCUCAUAUUGUGUCUAGAUCUUAAAUUACAGUUUAAAAUUUUUUUAUUUUUUUAUUUUUUUUACCCAGGUGUCCCAGCUUCGCUAGACUAAAUCUUGGACCCCUAGCCACCGGCCCCUCAGUGACUAGCGGAGGUAAACCGCAGGUUGUGCCCUUGUUGGAUCAUAAGUUCCCACCCGAUUUUUACUCCUGGCAUCAAGAGAGCUUUCCUCCAUCGUGAUUGAUCUAUCAACAAAUUGCCCAUUUAUUGGAUCAUAGGUUUCCACCAGGAAUCGAACUCUCCACCCUGAGGUUGCGAGCCCGUCAAAAUGAUUGAUCCACCAACUCGGAUGUGCUCUGGGGGACUUACAGUUUAAAAUUUGAUUGUAUUUAUGGAGGCUGCUGGCCAUUCUCUUGUACUUGGAAGCAUAACAAAAUAAGAAAUAUGUGUCUAUUGUAUAAAUGAUUUCAUCCAAAGACGUUCUUUUUGUGUUUGAAACUGUUGCGUAUUUGCUUUCAACUUAUGCUUUGUUGAAAUGAAAAUUUGG